RNAcentral lists this long non-coding RNA (1349 nucleotides) under Chloebia gouldiae (Gouldian finch). RNAcentral describes it as "Erythrura gouldiae (Gouldian finch) lncRNA (ENSEGOG00005001146.1)". Lineage: Eukaryota; Metazoa; Chordata; Aves; Passeriformes; Passeridae. The record is from RNAcentral.
UAACAUUAGGUCAAACAAGCCAGUUUCAUUUAAUACUAAGCAUGUUUAAGGAUAAAUGUCAAAGUUCAGUUCCGCUGACUAAUGAUGUAAAUCAGGAAUCACUGAAGCCAGACACCUAUUCUGAUCUUAUACCAAAUUUGUGUUAGGAUUACUCACUGAAAUAAAUCAGUUCUUUACCAGGAAUCCAUCCUACUGACACAUGAGCAGUUCAUAAACUUUGCUCAGACAAGGAAAUCAUGCCAUGCAGUGAUGCAAUUAGUUUCAUUUAAAGGAAAGAAAGAAGUGGAAGAAAUGAAAAGGGAAAAAAGCACUGUGUUUGAUAAUUUCUCCAUUUAAAUCUUGAAGAGGCUUUGACAUCAGCUACAGAAUGGAGGGGUGGUUAGAACCCCUUCCCAGGACUACUGCUUGCUGGAAUCAAUUUUCUGGAAGACUGAUUUCAUACUGCCACACCACAUCAGAUUACAUUCUGAUUAUUAUAUCUUUUUGACAUUAAGAAAGAAAAGUAUUCUGCACUUUUUUUUGUAUAAUUUGCAAAAAUAUAACUGAAUUGAAGAGGCUUAUUGCUGAAAACCAUAAAACCACAAGAGGCUGAAUGAAUCAUGGAAUCAUGGAAUGCUUUUCGUUGGAAGAGACUAGGAAAGAUGCCCUCCUUGAGAUGCUCAAAAAUCUUUUUUGGAGUUCAAACAAUUAUUCACAGCCUGGAUAGAAGGCAUCUGCAGUCACUUGGAGGAUUUGGUCUCCUGCACGGCCAUAUGAGACACUUCAGUCAACUUGUGGGCACAAACAUAAUUGCAGAAUUUCAUGUGUAUAUAUCUAUGUUAUCAUAUUCUUUCACUGUGAAAGCAGUAACUACUGUAUGUGGUAAAAUGAUAUAUUGUUGUCCGCAAAAUGUCUUUGGCAACAGGAUGUUCACUAGCCUUGGAAUUUUGCCUUGUAUAAAUAUUUUUAAUCUACUCUAUGUAGGCAUAUUUUGGCUGCAAAAUAAAGGGUUUUGGAGAUUAAUAUAUCCAAGCUCAGUUCUGCUUAUACAUACUACAUACAUCAAGGUUUUAUUGAACUCUGCAUCUAGAAACUUUGCAAAGCAGCUGUUUUGUUGGGUUUUUUUUGCCUCCUUUACUCAAAGGGGGAUUAUGGCUAUAUCCUAUUUUUAUACUCUACAAAUGUAGUAAUUUAAUCUACAGAUAUAUUUUCAUUCUUCAGAUGUAACCUAUAUAAAGCAUGUUCAAAUUUAUGGUCAUUGCUUUUCCUGUAAAGAAUAUUAUUGGCCUCUUUUCAAAUGUCCACAUUUUCCCAAGGACUGUCCAAAUAGCUAUUUUUUAAUGAAUAAAGAAUGUAACAAUUAUCUGACA